CCUACGGGAGGCAGCAGUGAGGAAUAUUGGUCAAUGGACGAGAGUCUGAACCAGCCAAGUAGCGUGAAGGAUGACUGCCCUAUGGGUUGUAAACUUCUUUUAUAUGGGAAUAAAAUGUUCCACGUGUGGGAUUUUGUAUGUACCAUAUGAAUAAGGAUCGGCUAACUCCGUGCCAGCAGCCGCGGUAAUACGGAGGAUGCGAGCGUUAUCCGGAUUUAUUGGGUUUAAAGGGUGCGUAGGCGGAAUAUCAAGUCAGCGGUGAAAAUUCGGGGCUCAACCCCGUCGUGCCGUUGAAACUGAUGUUU
Molecule: ribosomal RNA, 305 nt
Filed under: uncultured bacterium
Lineage: Bacteria
Description: bacterial SSU rRNA
Rfam family: Bacterial small subunit ribosomal RNA
Source: RNAcentral